This is an RNA transcript of Zeugodacus cucurbitae (melon fly), 10625 nucleotides long. It is a transcript of the gene named arginine-glutamic acid dipeptide repeats protein, with no coding region annotated. The record is from RefSeq and is a predicted model, not a curated record. Lineage: Eukaryota; Metazoa; Arthropoda; Insecta; Diptera; Tephritidae. The transcript is spliced from 16 exons.
UUAACGAGUAGAAAAUUCAAAAUGGUCGCCCUGUUUUGUUGAGUGCGCGAAGAAAAAUUGAGCUCCCGUUCAGAACUAAUUAUUUACUUAUCGAAAGUAAUAAAAUUCAGAAAGUUUAGUGAAAAACAUUCGAUAUAUUUACUGCCUUCAGUUGGAUAUAAAAAAUUCGCGCAAACACAACAAAACAGUGACGAAAAUUGGUUAGAAAGUUAGUACUCAAAUUCGUGCGCAAAGUGUAUGCAAAAAGGAAAAUUGUUCCCCCAUCUGCCUCAUAGCAUUUUUCGGUGCUCAGCGACGGUGAAAAGCAAACAAGCGAAAAAGUAUUGAACGUAUAUGCAUUCAGUGAGCAAAUAGCAAACGGGCGACGGACAAAUAGUUAGCAAGUUGUUUUAAUCUGUGUUUAAUAAUAGCGUAAUAAAACAUUAUUUUCGGAAAAUUCUUGGAAGCCACGCGUUUUGGUGUACUUCUAGUGUUUAAUUACAAAAAGUGCGAAAAAAUCAAAAAAAUAAAACAAAAAUAUCGCGCUUUAACGAAGCACGACUGUGUGGAUGAGAACAAAGCACUCUUGAAAGGAAUACCAUACUCAAGACCGAUUAUAGCAGGAGGGAAGCGGUCAAGCAUAAAACAGCUUUCGACACGCCGCAUUCCUCCUCGCCAUUGGGCGGAGCAACACUGUUAGCAACUAUGGAUUAGUAGCAGUUAAAAGAUUUCAAUUUGGAAGUGUUUGUCCAACAUUAAAUGAGACCGGUGUGUAAAGUACGUCAACCAAGUGUAUAUCAAGUACAAAUAAAUAAAUAUAAAUAGCUUUUAAAUUAUAAACAUUGUGAAAAAUUAUUUACUAUAAAAUUCCAAACUAAUUGUGCAAUUGCCAUAUAGUCAAUAAGCUAAACAAAUUGACCGUGUAACAUGUGUAUGUGCUAUAAAAUUAAAUAAAUCAGUCAUCAUUCUUGUUCGGCUUUCCCACAAUUCACAUAAAACACCGUAUUUGACGGGAUAUUAUUUUUACGGCCGCAUAGACAGCUGGUAUUUAUUAACUCACAAAAGCAACAAUUACACAAUUUGUCAAAAUCAAUGUUUAAAUAUUAUAUCAUCAUAGAGGGCAAUAAAAAGCUUAACACUGGACCGGAAGCGUGUCUUUAAAGGGUAAUGGCGGCCUCCACUCAGGGAGAAAUUCGAGUGGGUCCCGGCCACCAGGUAAACGAUGUCUAUGCAAAAUUGCCCGAUUAUAAUCCAAUUUCAAGCUUCCCCGUUGACAAGGAGUGCGACGAACGUGAAUUAGAAGAAUCAAGAUGGAGUCCUGGCAUUGUGGCCGAUGGCGAUUUGUUAAUGUUUUUGCGUGCGGCGCGUUCUAUGGCUGCAUUUCAAGGAAUGUGUGAUGGAGGUUUAGAAGACGGUUGUUUAGCUGCUAGUCGUGACGAUACAACAAUUAACGCAUUGGAUAUUUUACACGAUUCUGGUUACGAUCCAGGCAAAGCACUACAAGCACUCGUUAAGUGUCCCGUUUCGAAGGGCAUCGAUAAAAAGUGGACGGAGGACGAAACAAAGAAAUUCAUUAAGGGUCUACGACAAUUCGGUAAGAAUUUCUUUCGCAUACAUAAAGAUUUACUACCGCACAAAGAGACACCCGAAUUGGUGGAAUUUUACUAUUUGUGGAAGAAGACACCGGGUGCCAAUAAUAAUCGACCGCAUCGUCGACGCCGGCAAAGUGCCUUGCGUCGCAAUCGUGUCACACGCGCUAGUAAUACACCUCCGAAGAAGGAGGAUACACCGGAACCACAAACGGCGACGACGGCGUCAGCGGCGGCAGAUUCGACGCGCUCGUCGCCCGUUGUCUCCAAGGAGGAGAAUAGUUCUCUAACCGAGGACGAUAUCAGCGAGUGCGACAGCGAUUCCAGUCUAACAAACAAAAGGGAUGAAUCACCAUCUAGAAUGAGGACACGCAAUAAACAACAGCAACAGAAUAAUAAUACAAAAGAGCAAGCAACUCAACAAGUAGCGAAUGGUAAACGACCCAAACGUGGUACUGAAACACCCGACACAGUGACAGCAGCCGAUAGUCCAAAGACACCAACUAAAGGAGCAAACGCAAACGCUGAGAAUAAUACGACAACGACGGUGGCGGCGAAUAAGCGUAAGGGCGGUAAGCAGGAUACGCCGAACAAGAAGAAGCGUACCGAUGUGGAUGGUAACGCAGGUUCUGGCAGUGGUGGCGGCAGUGGUGAUGUCACCGAUGAUGGCAGCAGCCUCAGUAAGGACAGCGGUAAGCGUAAACGACCAGAUAGUCCGGCGGAGGAGAGCAUGAACUCGGAUAGUCGACCGGAUUCGGUAAUGGAUGAUGCUGAGUCAAAUACGACCGAUACCGUAGAACAGUCGCUGAAGGAAGGCAAAGAUAGCUCCGCCGGCAAAGAGGAUAGUGGUGCUGCAGAUGGCGAUUCGAAGGCGGACAUUAUUGAGAAGUCAGAGAAGCCUGCUGAAGACACCAAAGAGACGAUCAAAAAUGAUGAUGAAGAGACAAAUAUCCAAGCGCCAGUUAGCGGACAAGCGCCUGCAGUUCCACCACCAAGCGAUGUCGUAAGCGCUACGAUAAAAGAGCCAAUCUCAAGUGCUAACGAGGAGAAUAUGAAUGUAGUUAGUGCGCCGCCAACACCCAUGAAAGUUCCCACCAUAGCUACCGUUGAAGCGCUGAAUGCUUCUAUCGGCCGUGGCGAAUUGUCCACUGAGCGCAAGGACAUGGUCGAAAAGAUGGAUGUGACCGAAAGUAAUGCUGCCGCAGUCGACAUAGCGAAGGAGCAAGAGAUGAUGAAGAAGAUCGCUAAUAUGAAACAGGAAUCAAUGCAGCAACAGCAGCAACAACUGCCACCGAACAAUGCAAGUGUGAAUAUGCAGGAAACCGCAGUAUUCAUUAAGAAAGAACCUUUGGAUGAUUCCAUGGAUGCUACUUGCAAUCAGAACAGCAAUGAACCGCAGGACUUAAAAGUCAAAGUGGAGAUUAAAAACGAGGAAUGCAAAAGUAAUGCUGGCAUGCCACCAACGUCAAUGUCUUCAGCGAUCAACGACGCAGCUGGUGGUCCAGAGGCUCCACAACAGCCGCCUCAUAUGCAUAUGCAUCUCCCACCAGCUGGUGUCCAACCACCACCUGGAUAUAUUUUGGACGGACAGCUUAAGUACGGUCCACCGCCACCACAAUCGAUGUCAAGUAAUGAUAACAACGCACCGCCAUCGUCGGGUAUGCCCUUAGGUGGGCCUCCACCAACGCACAAGUAUCCUGGUGAUAUGGAAAUAAAGUACAAUGAGUCUGCUGCGGCGGCUGCUGCUGCUGCCGCUGGUAUCAAAUAUGAAGGCGGCAAGUUUGGAAUGCAGGAUAUCAAGUAUCCACCACCACCACUGGAACACGCCAUGAAGUACGGCACAGUACAAGAUAUGCAAGCAGCAGCGGCAGCGGCGGCUGCUGCAGCUGCUGCGGGCGCGGGUAAAUAUGAUAUGAAAUUCGCUUUAGAACAACAGGGCAAAUAUCCGGGUGAUCUAUCUGCACAUCAACAACCACCGAAAGGUUUCCCUGGUGAGCAGCUAAAAAUGCCUGACAUGAAGGGCUCAAGUAUUUAUAACAUGCCAAAUGCUGAAAGCAAAUAUGCGCCACCGACCAGUCAGCCGGGCGAUGUAGGUGGUUUGAAAUACGUUGGCGCAGGCGCACCACAGGAUACACAGCCGCCACCAACGCACGGUGCUCCACCUGGUGCUACGCCGCCACCCGGCAUUGCGAUGCCGAAGCCCCAUUAUCAGCAUGAGGUGCAACAUCCAUUGGCACGUUCUGCUUUUGAGUCAAGCUUAAUGCUGAAGUAUGGCGAUCCAAUGUCUGCAAAGUAUGGACCGCCCCAAGAUUUGAAAUAUCCGCCACCCCCUCAAGGCUCUAAUGAUGGUGGUCCAAUGAAACCCUUGCCAUAUGCAGAAAAUCUUGUUAAAGGUUCGCCAUAUGGCCCACAAGAGUCAGGCGGUAUGAAAUAUCCGCCUUCGGAAAGCCCAAUAGAUGCAUCGUCUCGUUCGACGCCGGGCCAGGAUAGCCAGGGUAGUAAUAGUAGUUCACAACCGUCGUCACAGCAGCAACAGUUCCAAUCACCGCAUCCAUCGCCACACUUGCCUUCACCGGCAGGUGGUGGUUUACCGCCUGGUAUGCAUCCACAGAAUUUGGUGUCUCCGCACGGACCACCUUCUCAUGGUCAGAUGAACUCUGGUCUACCACCUGGCGCAUCUGGGCCACCUCCACCUAGUUCAAUGCACCAUCCUCAUCUCACGCCAUCACCGAACAACUCUCAGCAAUUACAAGGACCACACUCACAAUCUUCUGUUGCUUCAUCGAUGCCACCGACCUCAGUUGGUGCACCACCGCCAUUGUCAACGGUAGCACCAUCCGGUCUACAUCCCCAACAUCUCCUGCCCAGCCAUCUGCAACAGUUGCAUCGUCAACAUCAAGAUAUGCCAGGUGGAAUGCAUCCGCACGCGCCAAUUCCACUCACACUUCAGGGUCAUGACCCGAGAGGGGGUCCACCGCCACCCACACACCAAAUGCCGCCUCAACCAUUGCAAUCGAGCACAGUGCGCACGCCUUCACCAGCGCAGCAACCACAGUCCCGCAGUUUGCACGAGGAGCGCAUGAAUAUCAAUAGCAGCACACCUACUGGACCACCACGUGAACCGCCAACGUCGCAAGCAUCAAUGCCACCACAACAGUCACCGCAUGCACACCGCAGCUCUCCUCUAACUGGAAUGCCUGGAAAUCCACCACCAGGUCUAAUUGGUCACCCUAUGCCCAUACAUCCACAUCUAGCGCAUUUGCCGCCAGGUCAUCCAGCGCAUGCUGCCGUCGCUGGUGUUGGUCAUGCAGGGCAUCCAAUGUUAUCGCACUCAAUGGCCGGGUUGGGUCCGGGUGGCGGUGGCCCAAUUGCUUUAUUGGCUGGGCCACCAUCGUUGACUGGCAUGCCGGAGUCGCCGCUAAGCAGACGUACACCGCCAUCGCAUAUUGCACCACCGCAUUCCUCGUCUGCACCGCCACACUCGUCCGUUGCUGUUAGUAUGUCUUCUACCACAACGUCUGCCAGUACUGCUUCAAACACGAAUACUGUGCCAUCUUCUGCCUUCAGCCGUGCUAGUCCAAGCGUGCAAGGACCGAACUCAAUUGGUGGGCCACAGAGUAUUGGCGGAGGUGGUGGUAAUGUCGGAUUGCCCGGAAGUAGCGGCACACCUGGUUCAAACGCUGCGCAUCGUUCAACGUCGCCUGCUUCAAGUGUUGGAAGUUUAAGUCGACAAAGUCCACUACAUCCGGUACCGCAAAGCCCACUCAGCCAUCAUCCGUCGUCGUCAGCACUUUCGGCGGCAGCAGCUGCUGUAGCAGAGCGAGAUCGUCAUGCACUUUUGCGUCAGCAAUCACCGCACAUGACACCGCCACCAGUAUCCAGUGCUUCCUCGUUGAUGGCUAGCCCAUUAAGCAAAAUGUACUGUCCCCAACCAAAUCAACGGGUACUGGGCACUUCACCACCACCGCAUCUGCGACCUGGAGCUUCACCGCCUGUCAUCCGACACCCACAAAUGCCACUGCCAUUGCCAUUAAUUCCGACAGGUGCUGGUAUACCACAAAUAGCCGUACAUCCCGGCCAGUCGCCAUAUCCCCAUCCACUUUUACAUCCAUCAAUGUUUUACUCCCCGCACCAUCACAAUCCCUUCAACUAUGGCUACGGACCGUACGGUCCUGGUUUCCCCACAGCAUACAUGAAACCACCACCUCCCGGUGGACCACUUGACCCAGCCUCUGUGCUUGGUGGACAUCAUCCUGGCUUACCGGGACCGCCACCCACACGCCCCGACGAUCCAGCAAUGGCAGCUGCUGCAGCGGCGGCGGCUGAGAAGCAAGCUGUGGCUGCUCACCAGCUAAAACAACAGCAACAACAUCAUCAGCAUCAACAGCAACAGGCGGCAGCACAAGCGCAAGCUCAGGCACAAGCUCAAGCACAAGCACAGGCGCAAGCGCAGGCUCAGGCACAGAACAAACCCCCAACACCAAAGACACCGCAGGGCAGCAACAGUAGUGGCGGUCCACCGGGCAGUUCACAUUCGACGCCAACUGGUCUGCCACCAGCUGGUUAUCCGGGAGCGCAUUUAGGCGGCUAUCCACCACCGCCGCACUCCUCGCCAUUCCAAGAUGGUCAACCAAUGGGUAUGAAGCCAACAUCGCACAUGGAUGCGUUGCGAGCGCACGCACACUCCGCUAAUCUGGGCGGUCCACAUCACCCGACGGAGCCAUUACCGAUUGACAUCGAACCCGAUCCGGAGCCGGAAAUUCCUAGCCCAACGCAGAAUAUACCGCGCGGCCCUAGUCCCGAAGCCAAACCCGAUGACACAGAAUGCCAUCGCUCGCAAUCAGCUAUCUUUGUACGUCACAUCGAUCGUGGUGACUAUAACUCCUGCACACGUACGGAUUUGAUUUUCAAGCCUGUGGCCGACUCGAAAUUGGCGCGAAAGCGUGAAGAGCGCGACAGAAAGUUAGCCGAAAAGGAACGUGAGCGGCGUCAGCAACAACAGCAACAGCAACAACAACAGCAGCAACAAGCUGUCGCAGCACAACAGGCGGCCCAACAGGCCAAAUUGAAGGCCGAGCUGAAGCCGCCAUAUGCGGAUACGCCAGCAUUGCGUCAAUUAUCCGAGUACGCCAGGCCACAUGUGGCUUUCAGCCCUGUUGAACAGAUGGUACCAUAUCAUCACCCAAUGGGGCCAAUGUAUAGUAGAGAGAGGGAAUUGGAAGAGAUAAAGAAUGCACAAGCGGCGGCCGCCAGUCAGUCGCGCAUGGAUCCGCAUUGGAUGGAAUACUACAGACGCGGCAUUCAUCCCUCACAAUUCCCGUUGUACGCCAAUCCUGCGGCUAUUUCACAAAUGGAGCGCGAGCGCUUGGGCAUACCGCCGCCACAUCAUGUUGGCCUAGAUCCCGGCGAGCAUAUGAUACGAUUGACGAGAGAAUAUCAUGCACACUCUCAUACUCAUUUACAUUUGCCUUUGCCUUCACAGCCGCAACCACCGGAGGCCGGAUUUCAACUGCCACCGAAUGUUGGCCAAUAUCCACGGCCAAGUAUGCUUAUGCCUAGAGAACCGGAUGUUUUGCUGCGCAUGUCCUACGCCGAUCAACUUCAGUAUUUGCAGGCUGCUGAAUUCCAGCGACAGUCACUGCACGAGCAAUAUUUUAGACAACGGCCCAGAUAAAUGGACCACUAUGGUAGAACGUUUUAUAGUAUGCGUUAAGUUUUCCGCACCGAACAAAUGGACUGAAUAUGCUGAGGAAAACUUAAACUUACGCAAGCGCAUCGCCUCGCUUGUGUAGUACCCGUACUUUGAGUAAACGCAUGGAAUAGUCAACGUUAAACGUUAGUGCUUGUGUAAAUAAACUGUGCCGGCUUGCGUGUACUUCAUCGUUCUACCAACAACACCAAUAACAACAACAACAACCAUCAUCAUGACCAUCAUUGACACAAUCCAACCAGGAAGCCAACAAACUUAUGCGUCGCAACCACUUCGCUCCACUCCACUCCACUCCACUUUACUCGAUUCCACUUCACUCCACUCCACUAUACUCCACUCGUAUCAAUAUCGUAUCAACUCCAUCAUAUUGUAAUGUUAAGCAUCAUUAUCUCCAAUGAAAUGUACAUCGAUCGAACACUCCAGUUCGAUUAAUUACUUUCCAUUAGAAUUGUGAAGUACAUUUCAUUUGUGUAAUGCCUAUGCUUUGGGCAAUUAAUUGUUGCAAUUGUUGACAAUUUCUCCCCUCGUCGGCGAAAAAAAUCAACUACGUUAGUAUUUAUUCGGAAUAAAUAGCACAAAACCGCCAUAAAAGAAAAACAAAAGCAAAACAUCAUAUAACUGAAUAUGCAACAAAUCAAACAAGCGUCGGAAGAAAUGAUGAACUGGUGGACUGUAAUGGUAAUGGAAUAAAGUGGCAAUGCGUAGGCAUAUUAAAUAUAUUAAUAAGUUGAAACUUUUAUAAAUACGUUUUACACAACAAACCAAUGUAUAUAAACACAUGAACACAAACGAGUUUACAGCUAAAAUAUACGAUGUGCAUAUAGGCGACAUACGCCACUCGAAAAUAUUUAAGCAACGCAGCAUAAAGCAAUUACAGCAAAUUAAAAACAAAAAUUAAAUGAGAUUUCUACAACAAAAAUAAAAAAUGUGUUGAAAAAAUAUUUGAAAAGUGAAUUUAGCAAAAAGUGUUUAGUGGUAUAUUUUGUAAGUUAUAUAACGUAAAUUUAUAGAAUUUUGUACAAAUAUUCUUUUCGAAAAUAAGUUUUUUGAACGCACAAAAUCGAUUUAGCAACCGAAAUUUGAGCAAAGGUUUUCACGAUAAUAGUGAUACAUUAAGUAGCAGUGAAAUUGACCACACACUACAACAACAAAAAUACUGAAAUAUUUAUGAAAUGAAAUUCACACGCUAUUUGUUCUUUUAAAACGAUGUGAAAAGUAUUUGUGGUGUGUUAUACGCUUACAUCUGGUUUUCUUCGCUUAAACCAUGCUGUUUUUUUGCAAAAAAAAAAAAAUAAAAAACAAAUUAACGGUAACUGCAAAACUGCAGUUGUGGAUUUUUACAGUUUUUCGAACAAACCAAAUUUAAUUGGAAUUUAAUUUUUUGGCAUGCGCCAGUUCACUAUACACACAUAAAUAUGACAGUUAUAUUUAUAACUGUAAUAUGUUUAAGUUGACAAAUAAAUAGCCAUGACAGCGAAGUGUUUUUACUAUUUUUUUAUAAAUAAUUUUAUUUGUAGCUGUGCAGUUGCACUACUGAAUAGACAAAUUAUGGAAUUGUGAUGUAUACACAUACAUACAAAUCGUGUUGAAUACAUACAUACAUACACACACACAUAAAUAUGUAAAUAUGAUACUUUAUUGACCCCAUAACGUUGAACAAAUGCAAAACGCCAUUUUUGCGGUUUUUCUUCAAGUAUUUUGCUUGCUUAGUAUAAUUACAUAUAUAUAAUGUACGCCUCGUUUGUAUGCUUUCAACUUGUAUUAAACAUAUUUAUUUAACUCACUUUAGUAUUAUUUGUUUAUUUAUAUAAUUAAUUAAAAUUUAAUUUUUUUUUUCAAAUAAAUGUAAUUUUACCGCUAAAACCGUUUGGUAGCGUUGCACUUGAACAAAGUAAGCAUAAAAUGUAAGAAACUUAACUUAACUGACAUUCAUUUUAAACUUAGUCUAAUGCUAAAAACAUGUAAGCUGAAGCCUAAACUAUAUGAUUUAAUGUUAAUAUAUAUAAAUGUAGUUAAUAAACAAGUGCAUGCGUCUGAAGUGCAGCGCAACUUGCAAUUUCUUUGAUAAUUCUAAGAGCAUGUAUAUAUAUAUAGAUACCAUAUGCUAAUGUCAAGCUAAAAUGUUUGUGUAUGUAAAUUAGGUGGUGAAAAAAAAAUAAUAAAAAUAUAAAAAUCGAAAUAAUGCAAACAAUGCAACAUAUGGCUUCGGCACUUUAGUGGCGCGUAAGUAAAAAUGAAGAAAAGUUUAACACUAUAAAGGAAAAGGUAGCAUUAUGACAUGUAUUUUCAAGUUGUAUAUAUGCUUCUGUCUGUUUGUAUGCGCUUAAAAUGUCAAAUAAAUACUUCAAAAUAUGCUACAAAAUUACUGCACACUAGUGUAUUAAACUUUAGCUGCCACAACGCAAAAAUCAAAAUUCAGCAACUAAAGUAACGAAACAACUGCAUUACUGUAAAUAAACGCCUGCUAUGAAUAAAGCGAAAAUUUAAGAAUUUAUAUUUAACGUGCAAAAUUAUUGAACAAUAAUGCAUUUUUUACAUAUUUUUUUGUGCUUUGAGUAAAAAAAAAUAAUUUAUUAAAAUGUGAAGUUAAAAAAUAUUUAAUUUUUUAUUUUGCGUCACUAUAUAAACUCAAGCUUUUCAAAAUAAAUAAAAAAAAAAACCACAAAGCACAUACUUGCAAGGUAUUCAACGUAAACAAAUAUAUUCAUUUUGCAAAAAAUAAACAAAAUUUAAUAAUAAGCAAUAGAAGUCAGUUCAUGAGCUAUGAGCUCAAACUGCAGCAUUACAAGCACGUGAAAUGAAAUACGAACAAAAAGAAGCGAAAAUUUGUUUAAAUUAGUUAUUUAGUAAGCACAAUAAGUUAACUUACAACAACAAACAUAUAUACACAUAAACACAUAUUGAAAUAUAUAUAUAUAUAUACACAUAUAUGCAUACAUGUGUAAAUUUAAGUUCAAAUAACGCUACUAGAUUAAUAAGUGUAUAGCGUACAUUUAAGAUCACAAGCAAUUAUUAUAAAAUAUACAUAUAUGAAAUAUUUUACAAUUAAUAUACUAGUUAUAGAAGAUGUGUAAAGAAGUAAAUUCUAAUUAUUGUAAUGACUAACAUUAUUGUGAAAGCGUAACAAAACAAAAAAUACAAGCUGUAGAAAACUAAAAACUAAAAUACAUUGCAUAUAAGAAUUUUGCGUUAGUACCGAAAACACAAAAACAAAAAAAAUAUAUAUAUAUAUACAUAAAACAAAAUGAAAUUUAAUUCAAUUGCGUACAUACAUGCAUAUACACACACACAAAUAGUAAAGAAAUCAAAUUUUAUUAAAUUUCACAAAGAAGAUUCACACAGAAAAA